AUACCUUUCUCGGUCUUUUGGCUAAGAUAAAGUUUAGUAUUUGUUCUUAUCAGUUUAAUAUCUGAUAUGUGAGUCAUUGACUCACAGUCUAUUAACUCUAUUUUUGGAGGGGGAAAGUCUAAUACACUAUCUUGCUAUAGGGACCUUCAAGAGUCGCCUUGGUGUUGCACUAUUGCCUUGGCCUAGCUCACCCUAC
This is a non-coding RNA of Solanum lycopersicum (tomato), 196 nucleotides long. The record is from Rfam. Lineage: Eukaryota; Viridiplantae; Streptophyta; Magnoliopsida; Solanales; Solanaceae.